GUAAACUGUCAGCAAAACCACAUGUGAAUCAUAAUCGUGUUUAACCAUUACAACAUUUAAAACUACUGACAGGUUGGUUGCACAGUUCUGAUCUUCUUACUACCAGAGAUGAAUAUAAAGCGCCGACAGGAAGUGACCUGCCAUAUGUGCCACAGAGAGCAUCUGCAUCCCUCCAGAUGGAGACUCUGCAUCAUGCACCUUCUUCUCAUUCACUUCUAUUCAUCUCCUCAUUUCCCUGAGCACUCAUAUGACGUCCAUGGCCCCUCCCUGCGCAUAAUCCCG
Astatotilapia calliptera (eastern happy) is the source of this 282-nucleotide long non-coding RNA. NCBI's taxonomy places the organism in Eukaryota, Metazoa, Chordata, Actinopteri, Cichliformes, Cichlidae. The record is from Ensembl.